UUAAGCGACUAAGCGUACACGGUGGAUGCCCUGGCAGUCAGAGGCGAUGAAGGACGUGCUAAUCUGCGAUAAGCGUCGGUAAGGUGAUAUGAACCGUUAUAACCGGCGAUUUCCGAAUGGGGAAACCCAGUGUGAUUCGUCACACUAUCAUUAACUGAAUCCAUAGGUUAAUGAGGCGAACCGGGGGAACUGAAACAUCUAAGUACCCCGAGGAAAAGAAAUCAACCGAGAUUCCCCCAGUAGCGGCGAGCGAACGGGGAGGAGCCCAGAGCCUGAAUCAGUGUGUGUGUUAGUGGAAGCGUCUGGAAAGGCGUGCGAUACAGGGUGACAGCCCCGUACACAAAAAUGCACAUGCUGUGAGCUCGAUGAGUAGGGCGGGACACGUGGUAUCCUGUCUGAAUAUGGGGGGACCAUCCUCCAAGGCUAAAUACUCCUGACUGACCGAUAGUGAACCAGUACCGUGAGGGAAAGGCGAAAAGAACCCCGGCGAGGGGAGUGAAAAAGAACCUGAAACCGUGUACGUACAAGCAGUGGGAGCACAGAGCAAUCUGUGUGACUGCGUACCUUUUGUAUAAUGGGUCAGCGACUUAUAUUCUGUAGCAAGGUUAACCGAAUAGGGGAGCCGAAGGGAAACCGAGUCUUAACUGGGCGUUAAGUUGCAGGGUAUAGACCCGAAACCCGGUGAUCUAGCCAUGGGCAGGUUGAAGGUUGGGUAACACUAACUGGAGGACCGAACCGACUAAUGUUGAAAAAUUAGCGGAUGACUUGUGGCUGGGGGUGAAAGGCCAAUCAAACCGGGAGAUAGCUGGUUCUCCCCGAAAGCUAUUUAGGUAGCGCCUCGUGAAUUCAUCUCCGGGGGUAGAGCACUGUUUCGGCAAGGGGGUCAUCCCGACUUACCAACCCGAUGCAAACUGCGAAUACCGGAGAAUGUUAUCACGGGAGACACACGGCGGGUGCUAACGUCCGUCGUGAAGAGGGAAACAACCCAGACCGCCAGCUAAGGUCCCAAAGUCAUGGUUAAGUGGGAAACGAUGUGGGAAGGCCCAGACAGCCAGGAUGUUGGCUUAGAAGCAGCCAUCAUUUAAAGAAAGCGUAAUAGCUCACUGGUCGAGUCGGCCUGCGCGGAAGAUGUAACGGGGCUAAACCAUGCACCGAAGCUGCGGCAGCGACGCUUAUGCGUUGUUGGGUAGGGGAGCGUUCUGUAAGCCUGCGAAGGUGUGCUGUGAGGCAUGCUGGAGGUAUCAGAAGUGCGAAUGCUGACAUAAGUAACGAUAAAGCGGGUGAAAAGCCCGCUCGCCGGAAGACCAAGGGUUCCUGUCCAACGUUAAUCGGGGCAGGGUGAGUCGACCCCUAAGGCGAGGCCGAAAGGCGUAGUCGAUGGGAAACAGGUUAAUAUUCCUGUACUUGGUGUUACUGCGAAGGGGGGACGGAGAAGGCUAUGUUGGCCGGGCGACGGUUGUCCCGGUUUAAGCGUGUAGGCUGGUUUUCCAGGCAAAUCCGGAAAAUCAAGGCUGAGGCGUGAUGACGAGGCACUACGGUGCUGAAGCAACAAAUGCCCUGCUUCCAGGAAAAGCCUCUAAGCAUCAGGUAACAUCAAAUCGUACCCCAAACCGACACAGGUGGUCAGGUAGAGAAUACCAAGGCGCUUGAGAGAACUCGGGUGAAGGAACUAGGCAAAAUGGUGCCGUAACUUCGGGAGAAGGCACGCUGAUAUGUAGGUGAAGUCCCUCGCGGAUGGAGCUGAAAUCAGUCGAAGAUACCAGCUGGCUGCAACUGUUUAUUAAAAACACAGCACUGUGCAAACACGAAAGUGGACGUAUACGGUGUGACGCCUGCCCGGUGCCGGAAGGUUAAUUGAUGGGGUUAGCGCAAGCGAAGCUCUUGAUCGAAGCCCCGGUAAACGGCGGCCGUAACUAUAACGGUCCUAAGGUAGCGAAAUUCCUUGUCGGGUAAGUUCCGACCUGCACGAAUGGCGUAAUGAUGGCCAGGCUGUCUCCACCCGAGACUCAGUGAAAUUGAACUCGCUGUGAAGAUGCAGUGUACCCGCGGCAAGACGGAAAGACCCCGUGAACCUUUACUAUAGCUUGACACUGAACAUUGAGCCUUGAUGUGUAGGAUAGGUGGGAGGCUUUGAAGUGUGGACGCCAGUCUGCAUGGAGCCGACCUUGAAAUACCACCCUUUAAUGUUUGAUGUUCUAACGUUGACCCGUGAUCCGGGUUGCGGACAGUGUCUGGUGGGUAGUUUGACUGGGGCGGUCUCCUCCUAAAGAGUAACGGAGGAGCACGAAGGUUGGCUAAUCCUGGUCGGACAUCAGGAGGUUAGUGCAAUGGCAUAAGCCAGCUUGACUGCGAGCGUGACGGCGCGAGCAGGUGCGAAAGCAGGUCAUAGUGAUCCGGUGGUUCUGAAUGGAAGGGCCAUCGCUCAACGGAUAAAAGGUACUCCGGGGAUAACAGGCUGAUACCGCCCAAGAGUUCAUAUCGACGGCGGUGUUUGGCACCUCGAUGUCGGCUCAUCACAUCCUGGGGCUGAAGUAGGUCCCAAGGGUAUGGCUGUUCGCCAUUUAAAGUGGUACGCGAGCUGGGUUUAGAACGUCGUGAGACAGUUCGGUCCCUAUCUGCCGUGGGCGCUGGAGAACUGAGGGGGGCUGCUCCUAGUACGAGAGGACCGGAGUGGACGCAUCACUGGUGUUCGGGUUGUCAUGCCAAUGGCACUGCCCGGUAGCUAAAUGCGGAAGAGAUAAGUGCUGAAAGCAUCUAAGCACGAAACUUGCCCCGAGAUGAGUUCUCCCUGACUCCUUGAGAGUCCUGAAGGAACGUUGAAGACGACGACGUUGAUAGGCCGGGUGUGUAAGCGCAGCGAUGCGUUGAGCUAACCGGUACUAAUGAACCGUGAGGCUUAACCUU
Molecule: ribosomal RNA, 2904 nt
Filed under: Escherichia coli KTE12
Lineage: Bacteria; Pseudomonadati; Pseudomonadota; Gammaproteobacteria; Enterobacterales; Enterobacteriaceae
Description: bacterial LSU rRNA
Rfam family: Bacterial large subunit ribosomal RNA
Source: RNAcentral